AACUGAUGCAUUUUCGCAGAGUUAAUUGAUUUGACCUGAAGGAAUCGUCAGUGUUGUCAGUAAAAUAUCAAACGCACGCGCGUUUAUGAAUAUUACACAUAAUGUUUUGUACUAUGAAUAUUAUAAUGCUUCUGAAAAAAUCACCUCAAGGACGAUGACGCACACUACUUCCUGAAUAAUACGGUCCGUGUUACGUCAUUGAUAAGACGUCACGUGUGCUUCGUGACACAGAUGACGAAACACGGUAAAAGGGAGUAAUUCAAAUGAUGGCGAAAAAGAAAGCUAGAUGACGUAAAAAUCAAAGAAGGAGGAUGAAGAAAAUGUCUUUCCGCUAAAAAAAAAAAGCAAAGAGGAAAUAAAUAAGAUCUAUAUAAUACAUAAAAUAAAUAAAAAUCUAAUAAAUAUAUAAAAUGUAAUAAACAGAAAAAUUUUAAACGACGAAAAACAAUGCAAAAAAGAAGAAUAGACGGGAUAGCGGUGGAGGAUAUGACGAAAAAAAUAUGAAACGUUAAAAAAAUGAAUACGAAAGAGAUCAACGAAGGUAGAAAUUAAAAUAAAAGAAGCAUAAAAGUAAUGACAAAAUGGAAGAUAUAAAAAUCAGUAAACAGCAAGAAUAUGAAGUGAGACAAUAGAGCGAAAAGAAGAAGAAAGAAACGUAGGGAUACUGAAAGACCAAAGUGAACAGAAAUAAAGGAGAUGGCAAAGCGAAAGAGAAACAAAGCCAUAAAUAUAGUGUGUGAAAAGAGAUGGUAAGUAAAAAGAAUAGCAGACAGGAGUGAAUGGGGGAAAUAAAUAUAAAGAGUACAAGAGAGAAAGACAAGAAAAAGAUGAGGGUUAAUGAGACGAAAAAUAAAAUGAGUGAAUAGGAAGGAUCGUGGGGGGGGGGGGGGGG
Bombus huntii is the source of this 892-nucleotide long non-coding RNA. RefSeq lists it as uncharacterized. The record is from RefSeq and is a predicted model, not a curated record. The transcript is spliced from 2 exons. Lineage: Eukaryota; Metazoa; Arthropoda; Insecta; Hymenoptera; Apidae.